GAUAAACGCUGGCGGCGUGCCUAAUACAUGCAAGUCGAGCGAACGGACGAGAAGCUUGCUUCUCUGAUGUUAGCGGCGGACGGGUGAGUAACACGUGGAUAACCUACCUAUAAGACUGGGAUAACUUCGGGAAACCGGAGCUAAUACCGGAUAAUAUUUUGAACCGCAUGGUUCAAAAGUGAAAGACGGUCUUGCUGUCACUUAUAGAUGGAUCCGCGCUGCAUUAGCUAGUUGGUAAGGUAACGGCUUACCAAGGCAACGAUGCAUAGCCGACCUGAGAGGGUGAUCGGCCACACUGGAACUGAGACACGGUCCAGACUCCUACGGGAGGCAGCAGUAGGGAAUCUUCCGCAAUGGGCGAAAGCCUGACGGAGCAACGCCGCGUGAGUGAUGAAGGUCUUCGGAUCGUAAAACUCUGUUAUUAGGGAAGAACAUAUGUGUAAGUAACUGUGCACAUCUUGACGGUACCUAAUCAGAAAGCCACGGCUAACUACGUGCCAGCAGCCGCGGUAAUACGUAGGUGGCAAGCGUUAUCCGGAAUUAUUGGGCGUAAAGCGCGCGUAGGCGGUUUUUUAAGUCUGAUGUGAAAGCCCACGGCUCAACCGUGGAGGGUCAUUGGAAACUGGAAAACUUGAGUGUAGAAGAGGAAAGUGGAAUUCCAUGUGUAGCGGUGAAAUGCGCAGAGAUAUGGAGGAACACCAGUGGCGAAGGCGACUUUCUGGUCUGUAACUGACGCUGAUGUGCGAAAGCGUGGGGAUCAAACAGGAUUAGAUACCCUGGUAGUCCACGCCGUAAACGAUGAGUGCUAAGUGUUAGGGGGUUUCCGCCCCUUAGUGCUGCAGCUAACGCAUUAAGCACUCCGCCUGGGGAGUACGACCGCAAGGUUGAAACUCAAAGGAAUUGACGGGGACCCGCACAAGCGGUGGAGCAUGUGGUUUAAUUCGAAGCAACGCGAAGAACCUUACCAAAUCUUGACAUCCUUUGACAACUCUAGAGAUAGAGCCUUCCCCUUCGGGGGACAAAGUGACAGGUGGUGCAUGGUUGUCGUCAGCUCGUGUCGUGAGAUGUUGGGUUAAGUCCCGCAACGAGCGCAACCCUUAAGCUUAGUUGCCAUCAUUAAGUUGGGCACUCUAAGUUGACUGCCGGUGACAAACCGGAGGAAGGUGGGGAUGACGUCAAAUCAUCAUGCCCCUUAUGAUUUGGGCUACACACGUGCUACAAUGGACAAUACAAAGGGCAGCGAAACCGCGAGGUCAAGCAAAUCCCAUAAAGUUGUUCUCAGUUCGGAUUGUAGUCUGCAACUCGACUACAUGAAGCUGGAAUCGCUAGUAAUCGUAGAUCAGCAUGCUACGGUGAAUACGUUCCCGGGUCU
This 1372-nucleotide ribosomal RNA is filed under the name uncultured bacterium. RNAcentral's name for it is "bacterial SSU rRNA". It matches the Rfam family "Bacterial small subunit ribosomal RNA", at positions 28 to 1381 of the family's 1533-position model. The record is from RNAcentral.